This 253-nucleotide ribosomal RNA is filed under the name uncultured bacterium. RNAcentral's name for it is "partial 16S ribosomal RNA". It matches the Rfam family "Bacterial small subunit ribosomal RNA", at positions 524 to 776 of the family's 1533-position model. The record is from RNAcentral.
UACGUAGGUGGCUAGCGUUGUCCGGAUUUACUGGGCGUAAAGAGCGCGCAGGCGGUCGUUCAAGUCGCGUGUGAAAGCCCCCGGCUCAACUGGGGAGGGUCACGCGAUACUGAUCGACUCGAAGGCAGGAGAGGGAAGUGGAAUUCCCGGUGUAGUGGUGAAAUGCGUAGAUAUCGGGAGGAACACCAGUGGCGAAGGCGACUUCCUGGCCUGUUCUUGACGCUGAGGCGCGAAAGCUAGGGGAGCAAACGGG